This 72-nucleotide non-coding RNA is filed under the name unclassified sequences. Its description in RNAcentral is "RAGATH-18 RNA". It matches the Rfam family "RAGATH-18 RNA". From Rfam's summary of the family: Actinobacteria, Firmicutes, Fusobacteria, Thermotogae (1 example). The record is from Rfam by way of RNAcentral.
UCUUUGGAGUGCUGUACAAACGCCAGUAGCCUGUCUUUUUUGGCGGCGAGAGCGAGUACGAUGAACAAGGAA